Molecule: long non-coding RNA, 344 nt
Organism: Polistes dominula (European paper wasp)
Lineage: Eukaryota; Metazoa; Arthropoda; Insecta; Hymenoptera; Vespidae
Gene: gro
Source: RefSeq, a predicted model, not a curated record
AUAUAUAUAUAUAUUUAUUAUAUAUUAUUAUUGUGGUGCGCGCGCGAAAUAAAUAAGAAGAGAAAAGGAAUAGAGGAGUAUUAUCAUUUGGAAAGGUAGUGCUACCUACUCUUCGGAUCGACAAGUGUGUUCCUACUUGAUUGUUUCCUUGUGUGUGCAUAUGUGUGAAUGUGUGUAUGCAUGGUAAGGGGGUAUGAGAGAGAGAGAAAGAGAAUAAGAGAUGGUAUUCUUGAUAUUUAACAGUUAAAUAAAAGUGACCACAAGAAAACUUGGGAUUACGAUGAAUGAAAUAUUUAGAGAAAGAAAGUGAGAGAGUGUUGGAGAGAAAAUUUUAAUUGCGACUA